This 500-nucleotide ribosomal RNA is filed under the name uncultured Glomeromycotina. RNAcentral's name for it is "partial small subunit ribosomal RNA". It matches the Rfam family "Eukaryotic small subunit ribosomal RNA", at positions 591 to 1092 of the family's 1831-position model. The record is from RNAcentral. Lineage: Eukaryota; Fungi; Glomeromycota.
CCAAUAGCGUAUAUUAAAGUUGUUGCAGUUAAAAAGCUCGUAGUUGAAUUUCGGGGUUAGUAGGUUGGUCGUGCCACUGGUAUGUACUGGCUUCACUGAUUCCUCCUUCUUGAAGAACUGUAAUGUCAUUAAUUUGGUGUUGCAGGGAAACAGGACUGUUACUUUGAAAAAAUUAGCGUGUUUAAAGCAGGCUAACGCUUGAAUACAUUAGCAUGGAAUAAUGAAAUAGGACGUUUAAUUCUAUUUUGUUGGUUUCUAGGAUUGACGUAAUGAUUAAUAGGGAUAGUUGGGGGCAUUAGUAUUCAAUUGUCAGAGGUGAAAUUCUUGGAUUUAUUGAAGACUGACUACUGCGAAAGCAUUUGCCAAGGAUGUUUUCAUUAAUCAAGAACGAAAGUUAGGGGAUCGAAGACGAUCAGAUACCGUCGUAGUCUUAACCAUAAACUAUGCCGACUAGGGAUCGGAUGAUGUUAAUUUUUUAAUGACUCAUUCGGCGCCUUACG